RNAcentral lists this ribosomal RNA (406 nucleotides) under uncultured bacterium. RNAcentral describes it as "partial 16S ribosomal RNA". It matches the Rfam family "Bacterial small subunit ribosomal RNA", at positions 30 to 526 of the family's 1533-position model. The record is from RNAcentral.
AUUGAACGCUGUCGGCAGGCUUAACACAUGCAAGUCGAGCGAGCGGCGGACGGGUGAGUAAUGUAUGGGGAUCUGCCCGAUAGAGGGGGAUAACUACUUGAAACGGUGGCUAAUACCGCAUACUAUCGGAUGAACCCAUAUGGGAUUAGCUAGUAGGUGGGGUAAAGGCUCACCUAGGCGACGAUCUCUAGCUGGUCUGAGAGGAUGAUCAGGCACACUGGGACUGAGACACGGCACAGACUCCUACGGGAGGAAGCAGUGGGGAAUAUUGCACAAUGGGCGCAAGCCUGAUGCAGCCAUGCCGCGUGUAUGAAGAAGGCCUUAGGGUUGUAAAGUACUUUCAGCGGGGAGGCGUUACCCGCAGAAGAAGCACCGGCUAACUCCGUGCCAGCAGCCGCGGUAAUAC